Molecule: long non-coding RNA, 529 nt
Organism: Frankliniella occidentalis (western flower thrips)
Lineage: Eukaryota; Metazoa; Arthropoda; Insecta; Thysanoptera; Thripidae
Exons: 3
Source: RefSeq, a predicted model, not a curated record
GUGUGGGCUGGUGGUGGCCCGGUCGGGUCGGCCUGGGCACGGCCCACCACCACUGCUGGGGGGCCACCAGCAGCGGCACGGCACGGCGACGUGCUAAGAGCUCUCCAUUGCGCGGUCCGGUCGGUCUGCCUGCCAUCAGCACCAUUAUGGCGCGGCACCGCGGCUGGCGCUACCGGUGUUGCACUGCAGCUGCAGCCGGCGGCGCAGGCGGCGCCCCGCAGCCCGAAGGGCCGGAGGUGAAAUAUUGGCCAUAAACGACGGGAGAGGACGUCGUCGUACCUGUGUACCAUCUGGUCAGUGAGGUGUCCUAACUUAAACAUAAUGGACCAAGAUACGAGGACCGAUUACUGUAAAAUCGCAUGAGUACUCAUGAAUUGCAAACGAGUACUCCCUUCACAGCGCCUACCCGCUCACUGCCUGCCUACAUGCCUAUGACGCUUCACGAUGGACGACUGACAACUUUAUGCACGAGUGCUGUAGGGUUGCUGUUGCCUGUUGGAUACCUUGCUACGCUACGUAGCUCCCAGGG